This 1113-nucleotide long non-coding RNA is filed under the name Anolis carolinensis (green anole). RNAcentral describes it as "lncRNA (ENSACAG00000029185.2)". Lineage: Eukaryota; Metazoa; Chordata; Lepidosauria; Squamata; Anolidae. The record is from RNAcentral.
AUGGGGAGCCCUCUCAGCCCAGUAGUAGCAAAUUUCUAUAUGGAAUACUUUGAAAAACAGGCCCUAGAAACAGCACCAAAAAAGCCAACUGUUUGGUUCAGAUACGUAGAUGACACCUUCACAAUUUGGAGCCAUGGAGAGGAAGACCUCAGCAAGUUCCUGGACCAUCUUAACAGCAUCCACCUAAACAUCCAAUUCACCAUGGAAAAAGAAAAGGAAGGAAAACUACCAUUUCUAGAUGUUCUGGUCAUCCGCAAACCCAAUCAACAACUGGGCCACACAGUUUACAGAAAACCUACACACACAGAUAGAUACCUUCAUAAAAACUCCAACCAACAGCCAAGUCAAAAAAGAAGCACAAUCAAAACCCUGACGGACCGUGCACAAAGAAUAUGCGAACCUCACCUCCUCCAAGGUGAACUCAACCACCUAAACUGGGCUCUACAGGCCAAUGGAGACUCCACCACAGACAUCAGAAGAGCUGCAAGGCCAAGAACAAGCCAUGAGAGUCAAGACAAAGAUCCACCCAAAGGAAAGGUGUUCUUACCAGACAUCAAGGGAACCACUGACCGCAUAGGGAAGCUGAUGAAGAAGCACAACCUACAAACUAUCUACAGACACACAAAGAAAAUCCAACAAAUGCUACGGUCAGCGAAGGACAAGAGGGAUCCUCUCUCCUCUGCAGAUGUCUACCAGAUACCAUGCAGCUGUGGACAAGUCUACAGAGGGAACACCAAACGCAGCAUUGCCCAAACAAGAGUCAAAGAACAUGAAAGGCACUGCAGACUAAUUCAACCAGAUAAGUCAGCCAUAGCAGAGCACUUGAUGAACCAGCCUGGACACAGAAUACUAUUUGAGAACACAAAAAUGCUUGACCACUCCAACAACUAUCAUGUCAGACGACACAGAGAAGCCAUUGAAAUCCACAAGCAUGUGGACAACUUCAACAGAAAGGAGGAAACCAUGAAAAUGAACAAAAUCUGGCUACCAGAAUUAAAAAACUCUAAAAUCAAAACAGUAGAUGGGAAGCAACACUCUGAGGGCAGAGCACAGCUAAUGACUGAACAAAGGAUGCCCCCAGGCAAGGGACAAAACCUUUCCAAUGCUAAUUAG